UUCAGUCAUUGUUUCUGGUCGU
This 22-nucleotide microRNA is filed under the name Oreochromis niloticus (Nile tilapia). Its description in RNAcentral is "oni-miR-725". Its record names the gene oni-miR-725. The record is from miRBase by way of RNAcentral. RNAcentral also lists the same sequence under 4 other names. Lineage: Eukaryota; Metazoa; Chordata; Actinopteri; Cichliformes; Cichlidae.